RNAcentral lists this ribosomal RNA (447 nucleotides) under uncultured bacterium. Its description in RNAcentral is "partial 16S ribosomal RNA". It matches the Rfam family "Bacterial small subunit ribosomal RNA", at positions 29 to 523 of the family's 1533-position model. The record is from RNAcentral.
AACGAACGCUGGCGGCAGGCCUAACACAUGCAAGUCGAGCGCCCCGCAAGGGGAGCGGCGGACGGGUGAGUAACGCGUGGGAACGUACCCUUUGCUACGGAAUAGCCUCGGGAAACUGGGAGUAAUACCGUAGGUGCUCUUCGGAGGAAAGAUUUAUCGGCAAAGGAUCGGCCCGCGUUGGAUUAGGUAGUUGGUGGAGUAAUGGCCUACCAAGCCGACGAUCCAUAGCUGGUUUGGGAGGAUGAUCAGCCACACUGGGACUGAGACACGGCCCAGACUCCUACGGGAGGCAGCAGUGGGGAAUCUUAGACAAUGGGCGCAAGCCUGAUCUAGCCAUGCCGCGUGAGCGAUGAAGGCCUUAGGGUUGUAAAGCUCUUUCAGUGGGGAAGAUAAUGACUGUACCCACAGAAGAAGCCCCGGCUAACUCCGUGCCAGCAGCCGCCGCGG